This 467-nucleotide ribosomal RNA is filed under the name uncultured Desulfobulbus sp. RNAcentral describes it as "bacterial SSU rRNA". It matches the Rfam family "Bacterial small subunit ribosomal RNA", at positions 920 to 1382 of the family's 1533-position model. Lineage: Bacteria; Pseudomonadati; Thermodesulfobacteriota; Desulfobulbia; Desulfobulbales; Desulfobulbaceae. The record is from RNAcentral.
CCCGCACAAGCGGUGGAGUAUGUGGUUAAUUCGAUGCAACGCGAAGAACCUUACCUGGUCUUGACAUCCCGGAGACCCUUAGGAAACUAGGGGGUGCUUCCAUCUGGAAGAAUCUGGAGACAGGUGCUGCAUGGCUGUCGUCAGCUCGUGUCGUGAGAUGUUGGGUUAAGUCCCGCAACGAGCGCAACCCUUGCCUUUAGUUGCCAGCAGUUCGGCUGGGCACUCUAAAGGGACUGCCGGUGUUAAACCGGAGGAAGGUGGGGAUGACGUCAAGUCCUCAUGGCCUUUAUGACCAGGGCUACACACGUACUACAAUGGCCGAUACAAAGGGCAGCGACACUGCGAGGUGAAGCCAAUCCCGUAAAAUCGGUCUCAGUCCGGAUUGGAGUCUGCAACUCGACUCCAUGAGGUUGGAAUCGCUAGUAAUCGUGGAUCAGCAUGCCACGGUGAAUACGUUCCCGGGCCUU